AAGAGAAUGAUUAAACAAUUAAAAGCUUUCUUUAAUUGAAUAAUUGAAUUUAAUUUUUUAGUGCAAAAGCAAAAAUAAAAAUUAGGGACAAGAAGACCCUAUGAAUUUUUAUUAAAUUUUAUAAAACUUUAUAUAAAAUUUAAUUUAAUUGGGGUGAUGGAAAAAGAAUAAAUAUCUUUUUUUUUAAAAAAAAUUGGUUCCGUUUUUAGCGAUUAAAUGAAAAAAAUACUCUAGGGAUAACAGCGUAAUAAUUUUGGAUAGUUCAUAUAGAUAAAAUAGUUUGCGACCUCGAUGUUGGAUUAGGAUUCUUUUUUGGUGAAGAAGUUAAAAAAAGAAGUUUGUUCAACUUAUAAUUUCCU
Molecule: ribosomal RNA, 359 nt
Filed under: Ixodes ricinus (castor bean tick)
Lineage: Eukaryota; Metazoa; Arthropoda; Arachnida; Ixodida; Ixodidae
Description: partial large subunit ribosomal RNA
Rfam family: Bacterial large subunit ribosomal RNA (bases 86-359)
Source: RNAcentral